AACUAACGCUGGCGGCGUGCCUAACACAUGCAAGUCGAGCGUGAACCCUUAGAAUGAAACUUCGGUCGAAUGAAGAGGGGGAAAGCGGCGGACGGGUGAGUAACGCGUAGGCAACCUGCCCCGUACAGAGGGAUAGCCUCGGGAAACCGGGAUUAAAACCUCAUAAUACCAUGGUAUCACAUGAUGCAAUGGUCAAAGAUUUAUCGGUAUGGGAUGGGCCUGCGUCUGAUUAGCUGGUUGGUGGGGUAACGGCCUACCAAGGCAACGAUCAGUAGCCGACCUGAGAGGGUAAUCGGCCACAUUGGAACUGAGACACGGUCCAAACUCCUACGGGAGGCAGCAGUGGGGAAUAUUGCACAAUGGGCGAAAGCCUGAUGCAGCAAACGCCGCGUGAGCGAAGAAGGCCUUUGGGUCGUAAAGCUCUGUCGGGAAGGAAGAUAAUGACGGUACUUCCCGAGGAAGCCCCGGCUAACUACGUGC
This 480-nucleotide ribosomal RNA is filed under the name uncultured bacterium. RNAcentral describes it as "bacterial SSU rRNA". It matches the Rfam family "Bacterial small subunit ribosomal RNA", at positions 29 to 508 of the family's 1533-position model. The record is from RNAcentral.